AACGAACGCUGGCGGCAUGCCUAACACAUGCAAGUCGAACGAGACCUUCGGGUCUAGUGGCGCACGGGUGCGUAACGCGUGGGAACCUGCCCUUAGGUUCGGAAUAACUCCCCGAAAGGGGUGCUAAUACCGGAUAAUGUCUUCGGACCAAAGAUUUAUCGCCUUUGGAUGGGCCCGCGUUGGAUUAGCUAGUUGGUAGGGUAAAAGCCUACCAAGGCGACGAUCCAUAGCUGGUCUGAGAGGAUGAUCAGCCACACUGGGACUGAGACACGGCCCAGACUCCUACGGGAGGCAGCAGUGGGGAAUAUUGGACAAUGGGCGAAAGCCUGAUCCAGCAAUGCCGCGGGAGUGAUGAAGGCCUUAGGGUUGUAAAGCUCUUUUACCCGGGAUGAUAAGGACAGUACCGGGAGAAUAAGCUCCGGCGAACUCCGG
RNAcentral lists this ribosomal RNA (432 nucleotides) under uncultured bacterium. RNAcentral's name for it is "partial 16S ribosomal RNA". It matches the Rfam family "Bacterial small subunit ribosomal RNA", at positions 29 to 506 of the family's 1533-position model. The record is from RNAcentral.